Molecule: long non-coding RNA, 3316 nt
Filed under: Solanum lycopersicum (tomato)
Lineage: Eukaryota; Viridiplantae; Streptophyta; Magnoliopsida; Solanales; Solanaceae
Description: long non-coding RNA (SLYC_LNC000415)
Source: RNAcentral
GUUUAUGCUAUUUGAUAGUAACCUUUUAAUAGUGAUUGAUAUGCAUUGAAUGAUACUGUGAAGUUUUUUAUGUACUUGAUUUUGUGGUUGUGUGGCUUGAUCGUGUGGCUUGUGAUUGGUCUGAAAUCCUGAGACCAUGAAAUUUAUAAUCUUCAACCUCUUUGUCGAAGUAAUGCCUUGAAUAAAGAAGGCUUGAUGAAAUCUUAUCAAUGAAUUUAAAAGUAGUGAUAAUAAAUGAUAACUUAAUGGUAUUAUUGGAUCGGUGUGUCACGUUCUGACACUAUAUUUUUGGAUCGGAGUGUCACAUUUCGACAAGAUAUGCUUGGAUCAGAGUGUCAGUGUGUCACGUUCCGACACGGUAUUCUUUGAUCGGAGUGUCACAUUCUGACAGGGUAUUCUUGGAUCGAAGUGUCACGUUCUGACACAGUAUAAUUGGAUCGGACGUUCCGACACAGUAACAUUAGAGGAAAAGGAAAUUGAAAUAUGUUAAUGUACUCAAUUUGAAAGAACUCAUUUUCCAAAUGAGCGUGGCAUGGAGGCAUGGGUCCUCAUUGGUGUGCUUGAUAUUGUGAGUGAUUACUUAGUCAUUUGUUUAUGUUGUUUAUUUCUUACCACUUGUUAAGUGUCAUAGUUGAGUUCAUACUAUUAUUCAUUGUAUAUUACUUUCUAUUUUGGGUUGGCCGAUGAUACCUACUCAGUACAUGUUACCUCGUAUUGAGCCCUACUUGUAUUUUUCUUUGUUUUUCUUUCAUGGAGUGUAGCAAGUGUACCGGCAAAUUUGACUCGCCCUCAGCUCUAGCAAGUCUCGGCAUAUCAUGUUCAAGGGUGAGUUGUUCAUUCGAGCUUGGGUUGGAUUCUCUUGGUCAUUACAUGCUGUCCUUAGUUUUCGGACACAAAUUACUUUAUUUCAUUUAUUUUGUUGUCUUUAGUACUCUUAGACUUAGUAAUUGGAGAUUAGAUGUCCUUGUUGUGAUGACUUUUAGGUUUUGGGAACGAUUAAUUAAUAAGUUUUGAAGCUUCCGCAUUAUUUUGUUAUUCGUAGUUGAGUUAUUGGUACAUGUUGGUAUUUGGAUUCCUUGGUUCGCCUACCUAGGUAGUUAAGUUUGGGUGCCACUCACGACUCGAUUUGGGUCGUGACAUAGUAAUUUGAGUUGCAUUAUUUUCUUGUGCACUUGAGAUGCUCUAAUUAAUGUGGUUUUGGUCCUAAAUUUUUGCCAUGAUUUAGUUAAAUUGUUGACCCUCUUGAAGACAUUUAUAUAGUUAUUAAAUAUUUGCUAAAGCUACUGUCGGGAUUGGUAAAAUGAGAGCAUAAUUCAUAUAAAACGUGUCAUAAUGUUAAUAUAUUAUUUGGGUUAUAUAGCUAUGUGUUUUAACUUGAUGUUAACCAUUUUAGAGAUAAUUUUUUCUAAUGUAUUUCUCAUUUUUCUAUGUUGCAUGUGAAAUUUGACGGGGUUCACUUUGAAUUCUCAUAUUUCUCCUCGCAUUUUGGGAGAGCAGUAAAGGCUUAAUUUCGAUAUCAUCGAGUCAAACCCAUAAAUUGAUGAAUAGGUUCCCGAGAUGAAGAAUUUGAAACAAACGGAGAAGUUGAAAUAUUGGACUUAAGGCCCACUUUUUUAUUUUUCCAAAUAUUGUAUUUUGUUAUUUUUUGUGUUAGCCCUUAUCAUGUUGUAUUAUUAUUAUUCGGUUAGUUUAGGACAAGUACCGUUGGAAUGAGCCAAAAGCUCAAAAUGAAAUGGGUCCAAAUACCGGUCCAUACGAAUAAAAAACCCGACUCUCUUUCUCUUUUAUUUUAUCGCUUAUUUGCUUGUUAAUUAAUUGUCGUUAGUUUUAAGGUUAAAGAAUUCAAAUCUCCACUAAUCGUUAUUUCAUUUUGAUGAUUCAAAUUAAAUUGAUCGUCUUUAAAUAGAUUUAAAAUAAUAAAUAUAUUUUGCGAGUCAAUUAACUCACUCAGAUGAUAAGUAAAUUUUCACCCUUUUAAGGAUUCAAAUUCUCUUCGAUUCAAAUCAAGUUAAGUUUUAAGCCAAAUCAAAUUAGUUGUCGAAUAACCGCAUGUAAGCACACAUUUUAGAUGCUUUCAAAACCUUCCUAAGACGUUAAUAAGAACCCCCGAACCCAUUUAAAACUCUUUCAAUUUGAUUUUCCAUUUUAGUCAAUUGGAAGAAUAGUCUUCUUAAUUUUUCUCAAAAAUUAAGUGGCGAAUCUAAACAAGUCUAACAAUUAUGAAAAUAUUUUUUACUAAAUAAAAUAAUGUGUGAGAAUAGGAAGUGUUUAUCCUAGUAGAAAAUAAAGAUAACGAUACCAGACUAGAAAGUGUUUAUCCAAGGAAAAAAAAGCAUAACAGUCUUAGACUAGGAAGUGUUUAUCCUAGGAGCGAAUAAAAAUAACGGUCUUAGACUAGGAAGUGUUUAUCCUAGGAGAAAAUAAAAAAUAAUGUCUCGAACUAGGAACUGUUUAUCCUAGGAGAAAAUAAAAAAAAACGACUCAGAUUAGAAAAUGUUUAUCAUAUCAGGAAAUAAAAAUAACGGUCUCCGACUAGAAAGUGUUUAUUCUAGGAGAAAAAUAAAAAAUAACGUCUCAAACUAGGAAGUGUUUAUCGUAUGAGAAAAUAAAUUAAUGGUCUCAGACUAGAAUAUGUUUAUCCUAGGAGAAAAAAAAAGGUCUCUAUAACGACCUGUUUAGUCGUUUUGAGCAGUAGAGUUUAUUUCUGGCAAUAGCUGUCUGGGUCGACGGAUCCCACGACAGACCGUCAUGGGCACGACGGACCGUCGAGGGGGUCUCGUUUCAAAACACUUAGACUCUGGAAAUUUGGGUACUGAGAACAACUCUCUGAACUUCGCGACGGAAGAGCAGCACGGACCGUCGUAGGUAUGACGGACCGUCACAGAGUCUUUAAUGUAAUUGAGCCUCUAAACUCUGUGACGACGCUGCAAGAGGACCGUCGCAGUCAUGAUGGACCGUCACAGGCGGCGUAACCCUGACUGGGUCGGAUUUCUAUUAAAAGUUUUUAAGGGGUGUUUUGGACUAUUCCUGCUUAUGAUUAUAAAGUUAGUGGUUUAAUGUUAAUAAUUCAAUUACUUGGGGGUUAAAGGAGAUAACUUUGAAAUAAAUAGUGGUUUAAUUUUACCAUCUUUUAUACUUAAUUAUAUGGUAAUUAGGGUAAAAGAAAAAGAGUUUGAAUAAGGAAAAAUAGAAAGAACAGAAAGAAGAGGGGAGAACGAACGAGAGAGGGAGAAACGAAGAGGAAAGCAAAGCAAUGGAGAAGUAGAUUGGUUGAUCACGAUUCUUCGGUGGAGGUAGGUUAUGGUUUAUGCUAUUU